UGGGGAAUAUUGGGCAAUGGACGAAAGUCUGACCCAGCGACGCCGCGUGAGGGAUGAAGAUCUUCGGAUUGUAAACCUUUGUCAACAGGGACGAAGCAAGUGACGGUACCUGUGGAGGAAGCCAUGGCUAACUACGUGCCAGCAGCCGCGGUAAUACGUAGGUGGCGAGCGUUGUCCGGAAUUAUUGGGCGUAAAGGGAGCGCAGGUGGGAAAGUAAGUCAGUCUUAAAAGUUCGGGGCUCAACCCCGUGAUGGGAUUGAAACUACUUUUCUUGAGUGCAGGAGAGGAAAGCGGAAUUCCUAGUGUAGCGGUGAAAUGCGUAGAUAUUAGGAGGAACACCAGUGGCGAAGGCGGCUUUCUGGAUUGUAACUGACACUGGGGCUCGAAAGCGUGGGGAGCGAACAGGAUUAGAUACCCUGGUAGU
Molecule: ribosomal RNA, 424 nt
Filed under: uncultured Anaerovibrio sp.
Lineage: Bacteria; Bacillati; Bacillota; Negativicutes; Selenomonadales; Selenomonadaceae
Description: bacterial SSU rRNA
Rfam family: Bacterial small subunit ribosomal RNA
Source: RNAcentral